AGCGAACGCUGGCGGCAGGCCUAACACAUGCAAGUCGAACGAACUCUUCGGAGUUAGUGGCGGACGGGUGAGUAACACGUGGGAACGUGCCUUUAGGUUCGGAAUAACUCAGGGAGACUUGUGCUAAUACCGAAUGUGCCCUUCGGGGGAAAGAUUUAUCGCCUUUAGAGCGGCCCGCGUCUGAUUAGCUAGUUGGUGAGGUAAAGGCUCACCAAGGCGACGAUCAGUAGCUGGUCUGAGAGGAUGAUCAGCCACAUUGGGACUGAGACACGGCCCAAACUCCUACGGGAGGCAGCAGUGGGGAAUCUUGCGCAAUGGGCGAAAGCCUGACGCAGCCAUGCCGCGUGAAUGAUGAAGGUCUUAGGAUUGUAAAAUUCUUUCACCGGGGACGAUAAUGACGGUACCCGGAGAAGAAGCCCCGGCUAACUUCGUG
RNAcentral lists this ribosomal RNA (433 nucleotides) under uncultured bacterium. RNAcentral's name for it is "partial 16S ribosomal RNA". It matches the Rfam family "Bacterial small subunit ribosomal RNA", at positions 29 to 507 of the family's 1533-position model. The record is from RNAcentral.